RNAcentral lists this ribosomal RNA (433 nucleotides) under uncultured bacterium. Its description in RNAcentral is "partial 16S ribosomal RNA". It matches the Rfam family "Bacterial small subunit ribosomal RNA", at positions 29 to 507 of the family's 1533-position model. The record is from RNAcentral.
AACGAACGCUGGCGGCAUGCCUAACACAUGCAAGUCGAACGAGACCUCCGGGCUUUUUUGCGGUCGGCUGAUUAACGACUGGGAAGUAACACUUAGGUUAGCUACACCUCCCUGUAAGGUGAGCUCAUAAAGCUUAAUGUCAUAGGACAUAAGAUUUGCUGCCUUAGGAUGGGCGCGGGUUGGAUUAGCUAGUUGGUAGUGUAAAAGCCUGCCAAGGCGACGAUCCAUAGCUGGUGUGUUAGGAUGAUCAGCCACACUGGGACUGAGACACGGCCCAGACUCCUACGGGAGGCAGCAGUGGGGAAUAUUGGACAAUGGGCGAAAGCCUGAUCCAGCAAUGCCGCGUGAGUGAUGAAGGCCUUAGGGUUGUAAAGCUCUUUUACCCGGGAUGAUAAUGACAGUACCGGGAGAAUAAGCUCCGGCUAACUCCGUG